CACACACACACACACACACACACUACUCUUGGUGACCUCUGUUGUUGUUGCUGUGUAAAAAAGCACGCAGCAUAUUCUGUAAAGUAGUUGGCGUUGGGAAGGGUUUGCAGCUGUAGGAACUAUACCAAAGCAAACUGUAAAGCUUGCUACAGUCUUCUGACUUGCCUGUUUUUGUUAAGCUUUCCAACCCUUGCCACCAGGGAAAGAGGAUGGACGUUAAAUGAGGAUAAUGAUUUGUGUGUGUGUGUGUGCAUGCAUGCAUACAUGCAAUAAUAUCGGUAGUUUAUUAUGUCUCGAAUUUCAUUCCAUAGUUAAGAUUGUUUACUUUUUGUCAUAAAUAAUAAAAGAGUAUGAAAAGAAUAACAGAAAGCAACACUCAAGUAGAUGAGUUGACAAGUGUCUUACAAAGAAUAUAGUUUAUUGAUGCUUUCUCUGAAAACUUCAUCUUCUGUAUACUUUAUAUCACUUCAAGAAUCACAUACUCAGGCCCAUUGCCAGACUUUGGUUCCUGUCGGUGCUUCGGAAUAUUGUGGGUGGGCAUUAACCUUUUUGUUACUGUAUUUCUAAUAAUAAUAAUAAUAAUAAAACAUUGUGUACAGUGCUCAGGUGCACUACAACUCAUCUAAAGUGUAUGUAUAGUACAUAGGGUAACGUACAAGC
Long non-coding RNA from Octopus sinensis (East Asian common octopus), 660 nucleotides. RefSeq lists it as uncharacterized. The transcript has 3 exons. NCBI's taxonomy places the organism in Eukaryota, Metazoa, Mollusca, Cephalopoda, Octopoda, Octopodidae. The record is from RefSeq and is a predicted model, not a curated record.